GUGGGGAAUAUUGGGCAAUGGGCGAAAGCCUGACCCAGCAACGCCGCGUGAAGGAAGAAGGUUUUCGGAUUGUAAACUUCUGUCCUCAGGGAAGAAGGAAGUGACGGUACCUGAGGAGGAAGCCCCGGCUAACUACGUGCCAGCAGCCGCGGUAAUACGUAGGGGGCGAGCGUUGUCCGGAAUGACUGGGCGUAAAGGGCGCGUAGACGGCUGUCUAAGUCUGGAGUGAAAGUCCUGCUUUCAAGGUGGGAAUUGCUUUGGAGACUGGAUGGCUUGAGUGCGGAAGAGGUAAGUGGAAUUCCCAGUGUAGCGGUGAAAUGCGUAGAGAUUGGGAGGAACACCAGUGGCGAAGGCGACUUACUGGGCCGUAACUGACGUUGAUGCGCGAAAGCGUGGGGAGCGAACAGGAUUAGAUACCCGUGUAGUCC
This 428-nucleotide ribosomal RNA is filed under the name uncultured bacterium. Its description in RNAcentral is "partial 16S ribosomal RNA". It matches the Rfam family "Bacterial small subunit ribosomal RNA", at positions 354 to 796 of the family's 1533-position model. The record is from RNAcentral.